AUCUUCGGCAAUGGGGGCAACCCUGACCGAGCGACGCCGCGUGUGCGACGAAGGCCUUCGGGUUGUAAAGCACUGUCGAGGGGGAGAAAGGCCGCAAGGCGUGAUCUAUCCCUGGAGGAAGCUCGGGCUAAGUUCGUGCCAGCAGCCGCGGUAAGACGAACCGAGCGAACGUUGUUCGGAAUAACUGGGCUUAAAGGGCGCGUAGGCGGGCCGCCAAGUUCGAGGUGAAAUCCUCCGGCUCAACCGGAGAACUGCCUCGAAUACUGGAGGCCUCGAGGCGGGUAGGGGCGUGCGGAACUGUGGGUGGAGCGGUGAAAUGCGUUGAUAUCCACAGGAACUCCAGUGGCGAAGGCGGCACGCUGGACCCGAUCUGACGCUGAGGCGCGAAAGCCAGGGGAGCAAAC
RNAcentral lists this ribosomal RNA (404 nucleotides) under uncultured bacterium. Its description in RNAcentral is "bacterial SSU rRNA". It matches the Rfam family "Bacterial small subunit ribosomal RNA", at positions 361 to 773 of the family's 1533-position model. The record is from RNAcentral.